This 460-nucleotide ribosomal RNA is filed under the name uncultured bacterium. RNAcentral describes it as "partial 16S ribosomal RNA". It matches the Rfam family "Bacterial small subunit ribosomal RNA", at positions 338 to 795 of the family's 1533-position model. The record is from RNAcentral.
CCUACGGGGGACAGCAGUGAGGAAUAUUGGUCAAUGGACGAGAGUCUGAACCAGCCAAGUCGCGUGAAUGAUGACUGCCCUAUGUGUUGUAAGCUUCAUUUAUAAAGGAAUAAAACGAGGUACGUGUGCCUUUUGCCAUGUACUUUAUGAUUAAAGUUCGGCUAACUACGUGUCAGCAGCAGCGGUAAUACGGAGGUGCCGAGCGUUAUCCGGAUUUAUUGGGUUUAAAGGGAGCGUAGAUGGGGUGUGAAGUCAGUUGUGAAAGUUUGCGGCUCAACCGUAAAAUUGCAAUUGAUACUGGACGUCUUGAGUACAGUUGAGGUAGGUGGAAUUCGUGGUGUAGCGGUGAAAUGCUUAGAUAUCACGAAGAACCCCGAUUGCGAAGGCAGCUUACUAGACUGUGACUGACAUUGAUGCUCGAAAGUGUGGGUAGCAAACAGGAUUAGAUACCCCAGUAGUC